CAACGCGACCCCAGUCAGGCGGCUACCG
This 28-nucleotide ribosomal RNA is filed under the name Ficus binnendijkii. RNAcentral's name for it is "partial 28S ribosomal RNA". The record is from RNAcentral. Lineage: Eukaryota; Viridiplantae; Streptophyta; Magnoliopsida; Rosales; Moraceae.